AGUAAGUGUUAAAAUUGUUCAACAGAAAUAGAAAGAAGUUUUAAUAACAGAAAGUCACUUUUGGCCUAGGGCACAUUCAAAGAAAACAAAAAUGAUAAAGAUGAAAAGGAAAGGAACCAUGAGAACUGCAAAAGUAACAAUUACUAAUCCACUGACCACCACCAAUUGUCAUAGUUUGCCACAGAUUGAAACCAAAUGCACAAACAUAAAAUUUUCA
Molecule: unclassified non-coding RNA, 217 nt
Filed under: Hevea brasiliensis (rubber tree)
Lineage: Eukaryota; Viridiplantae; Streptophyta; Magnoliopsida; Malpighiales; Euphorbiaceae
Source: RNAcentral